GUAGGGUGCGAGCGUUAAUCGGAAUUACUGGGCGUAAAGGGUGCGCAGGCGGUUGUGCAAGACAGGCGUGAAAUCCCCGGGCUUAACCUGGGAAUGGCGCUUGUGACUGCACGGCUAGAGUGUGUCAGAGGGGGGUAGAAUUCCACGUGUAGCAGUGAAAUGCGUAGAUAUGUGGAGGAAUACCGAUGGCGAAGGCAGCCCCCUGGGAUAACACUGACGCUCAUGCACGAAAGCGUGGGGAGCAAACAGGAUUAGAUACCCUGGUAGUCCACGCCCUAAACGAUGUCAACUAGUUGUCGGGUCUUAAUUGACUUGGUAACGCAGCUAACGCGUGAAGUUGACCGCCUGGGGAGUACGGUCGCAAGAUUAAA
This 371-nucleotide ribosomal RNA is filed under the name uncultured bacterium. RNAcentral describes it as "bacterial SSU rRNA". It matches the Rfam family "Bacterial small subunit ribosomal RNA", at positions 527 to 898 of the family's 1533-position model. The record is from RNAcentral.